Molecule: ribosomal RNA, 1643 nt
Filed under: Salmonella enterica
Lineage: Bacteria; Pseudomonadati; Pseudomonadota; Gammaproteobacteria; Enterobacterales; Enterobacteriaceae
Description: partial 23S ribosomal RNA
Rfam family: Bacterial large subunit ribosomal RNA
Source: RNAcentral
GGGGCUAAACCAUGCACCGAAGCUGCGGCAGCGACGCUCAGGCGUUGUUGGGUAGGGGAGCGUUCUGUAAGCCUGUGAAGGUGGCCUGUGAGGGUUGCUGGAGGUAUCAGAAGUGCGAAUGCUGACAUAAGUAACGAUAAAGCGGGUGAAAAGCCCGCUCGCCGGAAGACCAAGGGUUCCUGUCCAACGUUAAUCGGGGCAGGGUGAGUCGACCCCUAAGGCGAGGCCGAAAGGCGUAGUCGAUGGGAAACGGGUUAAUAUUCCCGUACUUGGUGUUACUGCGAAGGGGGGACGGAGAAGGCUAUGUUGGCCGGGCGACGGUUGUCCCGGUUUAAGCGUGUAGGUGUGUGUUCCAGGUAAAUCCGGUUCACUUUAACACUGAGGCGUGACGACGAGGCACUACGGUGCUGAAGCAACAAAUGCCCUGCUUCCAGGAAAAGCCUCUAAGCAUCAGGUAACAUCAAAUCGUACCCCAAACCGACACAGGUGGUCAGGUAGAGAAUACCAAGGCGCUUGAGAGAACUCGGGUGAAGGAACUAGGCAAAAUGGUGCCGUAACUUCGGGAGAAGGCACGCUGACACGUAGGUGAAGUGAUUUACUCAUGGAGCUGAAGUCAGUCGAAGAUACCAGCUGGCUGCAACUGUUUAUUAAAAACACAGCACUGUGCAAACACGAAAGUGGACGUAUACGGUGUGACGCCUGCCCGGUGCCGGAAGGUUAAUUGAUGGGGUCAGCGCAAGCGAAGCUCCUGAUCGAAGCCCCGGUAAACGGCGGCCGUAACUAUAACGGUCCUAAGGUAGCGAAAUUCCUUGUCGGGUAAGUUCCGACCUGCACGAAUGGCGUAAUGAUGGCCAGGCUGUCUCCACCCGAGACUCAGUGAAAUUGAACUCGCUGUGAAGAUGCAGUGUACCCGCGGCAAGACGGAAAGACCCCGUGAACCUUUACUAUAGCUUGACACUGAACAUUGAGCCUUGAUGUGUAGGAUAGGUGGGAGGCUUUGAAGCGUGGACGCCAGUCUGCGUGGAGCCGACCUUGAAAUACCACCCUUUAAUGUUUGAUGUUCUAACGUGGACCCGUUACCCGGGUUGCGGACAGUGUCUGGUGGGUAGUUUGACUGGGGCGGUCUCCUCCUAAAGAGUAACGGAGGAGCACGAAGGUUGGCUAAUCCUGGUCGGACAUCAGGAGGUUAGUGCAAUGGCAUAAGCCAGCUUGACUGCGAGCGUGACGGCGCGAGCAGGUGCGAAAGCAGGUCAUAGUGAUCCGGUGGUUCUGAAUGGAAGGGCCAUCGCUCAACGGAUAAAAGGUACUCCGGGGAUAACAGGCUGAUACCGCCCAAGAGUUCAUAUCGACGGCGGUGUUUGGCACCUCGAUGUCGGCUCAUCACAUCCUGGGGCUGAAGUAGGUCCCAAGGGUAUGGCUGUUCGCCAUUUAAAGUGGUACGCGAGCUGGGUUUAGAACGUCGUGAGACAGUUCGGUCCCUAUCUGCCGUGGGCGCUGGAGAACUGAGGGGGGCUGCUCCUAGUACGAGAGGACCGGAGUGGACGCAUCACUGGUGUUCGGGUUGUCAUGCCAAUGGCACUGCCCGGUAGCUAAAUGCGGAAGAGAUAAGUGCUGAAAGCAUCUAAGCACGAAACUUGCCCCGA